CUGGCUCAGGACGACGCUGGCGGCGUGCCUAACACAUGCAAGUCGAGCGAGGAGAUCCUUCGGGAUGAUCCUAGCGGCGGACGGGUGAGUAACACGUGGGCAACCUGCCUCAUAGAGAGGAAUAGCCUUCCGAAAGGGAGAUUAAUACCUCAUAACAUUGCAGUUUCGCAUGGAACAGCAAUUAAAGGAGCAAUCCGCUAUGAGAUGGGCCCGCGGCGCAUUAGCUAGUUGGUGAGGUAACGGCUCACCAAGGCGACGAUGCGUAGCCGACCUGAGAGGGUGAUCGGCCACAUUGGGACUGAGACACGGCCCAGACUCCUACGGGAGGCAGCAGUGGGGAAUAUUGCACAAUGGGGGAAACCCUGAUGCCAGCAACGCCGCGUGAGUGAUGACGGCCUUCGGGUUGUAAAGCUCUGUCUUCAGGGACGAUAAUGACGGUACCUGAGGAGGAAGCCACGGCUAACUACGUGCCAGCCGCCGC
RNAcentral lists this ribosomal RNA (481 nucleotides) under uncultured bacterium. RNAcentral's name for it is "bacterial SSU rRNA". It matches the Rfam family "Bacterial small subunit ribosomal RNA", at positions 19 to 518 of the family's 1533-position model. The record is from RNAcentral.